RNAcentral lists this ribosomal RNA (118 nucleotides) under Brassica napus (rape). Lineage: Eukaryota; Viridiplantae; Streptophyta; Magnoliopsida; Brassicales; Brassicaceae. The record is from RNAcentral.
AGGUGUGAUCAUACCAACACUAAUGCACCGAAUCCCAUCAGAACUAUGCAGUUAAGCGUGUUUGGGCGAGAGUAAUAUUAGGAUGGUUGAUCUCCCGGAAAGUCAUGUUGCACUCCUU